ACUCCUACGGGAGGCAGCAGUGAGGAAUUUUGCACAAUGGGCGCAAGCCUGAUGCAGCGACGCCGCGUGUACGAUGAAGGCCCUUGGGUCGUAAAGUACUGUCAAGUGGGACGAAAACCUUUUGAUGAAUAGUCAAAGGGUCUGACGGUACCGCUAAAGGAAGCACCGGCUAACUCUGUGCCAGCAGCCGCGGUAAUACAGAGGGUGCAAACGUUGCUCGGAAUUAUUGGGCGUAAAGCGCGUGUAGGCGGUCUUUUAAGUCUUUGUGAAAGCCCCAGGGCUCAACCCUGGAAGUGCAGAAGAUACUGGAAGACUAGAGACUCGGAGGGGAUGGCGGAACUCCCAGUGUAGAGGUGAAAUUCGUAGAUAUUGGGAAGAACACCGGUGGCGAAGGCGGCCAUCUGGACGAGUUCUGACGCUGAGACGCGAAAGCGUGGUAGCAAACAGGAUUAGAUACCCCUGGUAGACUGUCA
Molecule: ribosomal RNA, 473 nt
Filed under: uncultured bacterium
Lineage: Bacteria
Description: bacterial SSU rRNA
Rfam family: Bacterial small subunit ribosomal RNA
Source: RNAcentral